AGCGGCGGACGGGUGAGUAAAGCCUAGGAAUCUGCCUGGUAGUGGGGGAUAACGUCGGAAACGGACGCUAAUNCGCAUACGUCUACGGGAGAAAGCAGGGGACCUUCGGGCCCUUGCGCUAUCAGAUGAGCCUAGGUCGGAUUAGAUAGUUGGUGAGGUAAUGGCUCACCAAGGCGACGAUCCGUAACUGGUCUGAGAGGAUGAUCAGUCACACUGGAACUGAGACACGGUCCAGACUCCUACGGGAGGCAGCAGUGGGGAAUAUUGGACAAUGGGCGAAAGCCUGAUCCAGCCAUGCCGCGUGUGUGAAGAAGGUCUUCGGAUUGUAAAGCACUUUAAGUUGGGAGGAAGGGCAUUAACCUAAUACGUUAGUGUUUUGACGUUACCGACAGAAUAAGCACCGGCUAACUCUGUGCCAGCAGCCGCGGUAAUACAGAGGGUGCAAGCGUUAAUCGGAAUUACUGGGCGUAAAGCGCGCGUAGGUGGUUUGUUAAGUUGGAUGUGAAAUCCCCGGGCUCAACCUGGGAACUGCAUUCAAAACUGACUGACUAGAGUGUGGUAGAGGGUGGUGGAAUUUCCUGUGUAGCGGUGAAAUGCGUAGAUAUAGGAAGGAACACCAGUGGCGAAGGCGACCACCUGGACCAACACUGACACUGAGGUGCGAAAGCGUGGGGAGCAAACAGGAUUAGAUACCCUGGUAGUCCACGCCGUAAACGAUGUCAACUAGCCGUUGGGAGCCUUGAGCUCUUAGUGGCGCAGCUAAC
Molecule: ribosomal RNA, 764 nt
Filed under: uncultured bacterium
Lineage: Bacteria
Description: bacterial SSU rRNA
Rfam family: Bacterial small subunit ribosomal RNA
Source: RNAcentral